UACGGGGGGGGCAAGCAUUAUUGGUCAUGACUGGGUGUAAAGGGUUCGUAGGCAGUUAUAAUUGUUAUAUUAUAAAGAAUGUAUGAAAAUGCAUGAAGUGAUAUAAAACAUUAUAAACUAGAGUUUGAAAGAGGAUAGUGGUACUCUCGAUGGAGGGUUAAAAUGUGUUGAUAUCGAUGGGGACCACCCAUGGGCGAAAGCAACUAUCUGGGUCAAGACUGACGCUGAGGAACGAAAGCAUGAGGAGCAAACAGG
This 255-nucleotide ribosomal RNA is filed under the name uncultured bacterium. RNAcentral's name for it is "partial 16S ribosomal RNA". It matches the Rfam family "Bacterial small subunit ribosomal RNA", at positions 524 to 776 of the family's 1533-position model. The record is from RNAcentral.